UGGCGGACGGGUGAGUAACGCGUGGAAAACCUGCCGUAUACUGGGGGAUAACACUUAGAAAUAGGUGCUAAUACCGCAUAAGCGCACAGCUUCGCAUGAAGCGGUGUGAAAAACUCUGGUGGUAUACGAUGGUUCCGCGUCUGAUUAGCUAGUUGGUGGGGUAAUGGCCUACCAAGGCAACGAUCAGUAGCCGGCCUGAGAGGGUGAAGGCCACAUUGGGACUGAGACACGGCCCAAACUCCUACGGAAGGCAGCAG
RNAcentral lists this ribosomal RNA (257 nucleotides) under uncultured bacterium. RNAcentral's name for it is "partial 16S ribosomal RNA". It matches the Rfam family "Bacterial small subunit ribosomal RNA", at positions 96 to 354 of the family's 1533-position model. The record is from RNAcentral.